This 253-nucleotide ribosomal RNA is filed under the name uncultured bacterium. Its description in RNAcentral is "partial 16S ribosomal RNA". It matches the Rfam family "Bacterial small subunit ribosomal RNA", at positions 524 to 776 of the family's 1533-position model. The record is from RNAcentral.
UACGAGGGGGGCGAGCGUUGUUCGGAAUUAUUGGGCGUAAAGGGUGCGUAGGCGGUUUGGUAAGUCUUGUGUGAAAUCUUCGGGCUCAACUCGAAGUCUGCACGAGAAACUGCCGGGCUUGAGUAUGGGAGAGGUGAGUGGAAUUCCCGGUGUAGUGGUGGAAUGCGUAGAUAUCGGGAGGAACACCAGUGGCGAAGGCGGUUGCCUGGGGCUUUGCUGACGCUGAUGCGCGAAAGCGUGGGGAGCGAUCCGG